RNAcentral lists this ribosomal RNA (433 nucleotides) under uncultured bacterium. Its description in RNAcentral is "partial 16S ribosomal RNA". It matches the Rfam family "Bacterial small subunit ribosomal RNA", at positions 30 to 507 of the family's 1533-position model. The record is from RNAcentral.
AGCGAACGCUGGCGGCAUGCUUAACACAUGCAAGUCGCACGGGCAGCAAUGUCAGUGGCGGGCGGGUGAGUAACGCGUAGGAACGUGUCCUGAGGUGGGGGACAACCCCGGGAAACUGGGGCUAAUACCGCAUAUGGGCUGAGGCCCAAAGCCGAGAGGCGCCUUUGGAGCGGCCUGCGUCCGAUUAGGUAGUUGGUGGGGUACAGGCCUACCAAGCCUGCGAUCGGUAGCUGGUCUGAGAGGACGACCAGCCACACUGGGACUGAGGCACGGCCCAGACUCCUACGGGAGGCAGCAGUGGGGAAUAUUGGACAAUGGGCGAAAGCCUGAUCCAGCAAUGCCGCGUGGGUGAAGAAGGUCUUCGGAUCGUAAAGCCCUUUCGACGGGGACGAUGAUGACGGUACCCGUAGAAGAAGCCCCGGCUAACUUCGUG